RNAcentral lists this ribosomal RNA (392 nucleotides) under uncultured bacterium. Its description in RNAcentral is "partial 16S ribosomal RNA". It matches the Rfam family "Bacterial small subunit ribosomal RNA", at positions 523 to 917 of the family's 1533-position model. The record is from RNAcentral.
AUACGGAGGAUGCGAGCGUUAUCCGGAUUUAUUGGGUUUAAAGGGUGCGUAGGCUGUGCGUUAAGUCAGGGGUGAAAUGCCGUCGCUCAACGACGGAGCUGCCCUUGAUACUGGCGUGCUGGAGUACGGAUGCCGUUGGAGGAAUGAGUGGUGUAGCGGUGAAAGGCUUAGAUAUCACUCGGAACACCGAUUGCGAAGGCAUCUGACGAAUCCGUCACUGACUCUGAGGCACGAAAGCGUGGGGAUAGAACAGGAUUAGAUACCCUGGUAUUCCACGCCGUAAACGAUGAUGACUAACCGUCGGCGAUAGACAGCCGGUGGCCAAGCGAAAGCGAUAAGUAAUCCACCUGGGGAGUACGCCGGCAACGGUGAAACUCAAAUGAAUUGACGGG